AGUGAACGCUGGCGGUAGGCCUAACACAUGCAAGUCGAACGGCAGCACAGUAAGAGCUUGCUCUUACGGGUGGCGAGUGGCGGACGGGUGAGGUAUACAUCGGAAUCUACUUUUUCGUGGGGGUUAACGUAGGGAAACUUACGCUCAUACCGCAUACGACCUACGGGUGAAAGCAGGGGAUCUUCGGACCUUGCGCGAUUGAAUGAGCCGAUGUCGGAUUAGAUAGUUGGCGGGGUAAAGUCCCACCAAGGCGACGAUCCGUAGCUGGUCUGAGAGGAUGAUCAGCCACACUGGAACGGAGACACGGACCAGACUCCUACGGGAGGCAGCAGUGGGGAAUAUUGGACAAUGGGCGCAAGCCUGAUCCAGCCAUACCGCGUGGGUGAAGAAGGCCUUCGGGUUGGAAAGCCCGUUUGUUGGGAAAGAAAAGCAGCAGGUUAAGACCCCGCUGUUCUGACGGUACCCAAAGAAGAAGCACCGGCUAACUACGUG
RNAcentral lists this ribosomal RNA (492 nucleotides) under uncultured bacterium. RNAcentral's name for it is "partial 16S ribosomal RNA". It matches the Rfam family "Bacterial small subunit ribosomal RNA", at positions 29 to 507 of the family's 1533-position model. The record is from RNAcentral.